GUUUUAAUAGUUUAAUAAAAACAUUGGUUUUGUAUACCAUAUAUAUAUAUAUAUAAUAUAUUUAAAACA
Molecule: transfer RNA, 69 nt
Filed under: Phthiridium szechuanum
Lineage: Eukaryota; Metazoa; Arthropoda; Insecta; Diptera; Nycteribiidae
Description: tRNA-Thr
Source: RNAcentral